GGGGCCGCCAUGGUUUCGACGGGGGUUGCAAAGCGGAUGAGGGCAUGCCGGGAUCGCAGAUUUCCCGUUAAACGCUGUAUUCAUUUAGUCGCAAACGACGAAACUUACGCUCUGGCCGCUUAAUUGCCGCCAGACUCUGCACUCACUUGCUGAUGGGUGAGGCGGGGCAACCCGCAGCAGAGUCAUUCACAUCAGAUCGCAUCGGCCCGGGCUACUUGGGCUGGUGUUAAAUCCAAGGUGGCUCGCUGGUAGCAAGCCCGUCGGUUGGCGUGCUGCCGGUUAAAGCAGUCAAAUCAGCCUGACUAAGCAUGUAGAACUCUUCGUGGAGGGCUUUCGGACGCGGGUUCGACUCCCGCCGGCUCCACCA
Molecule: transfer-messenger RNA, 367 nt
Filed under: Chitiniphilus purpureus
Lineage: Bacteria; Pseudomonadati; Pseudomonadota; Betaproteobacteria; Neisseriales; Chitinibacteraceae
Description: Chitiniphilus sp. CD1 transfer-messenger RNA
Rfam family: transfer-messenger RNA
About the family: Bacterial tmRNA, also known as 10Sa RNA or SsrA, is named for its dual tRNA and mRNA-like properties. Its role is to liberate the mRNA from a stalled ribosome.
Source: RNAcentral